UGAAUCAGUACUUAACUUGGACCAGCCAGCUGAGAGCUGGGGUUGAUCCUUUAAAAAUAGCUGCUUUGAAAGAACCAUGGAGAUUUGGAGAGACCCUGUUGUCGGAGGAAAGGGGGAUGGAGCAACAUCCACUUUGAAACAUGCCCAUAAAUUGGCAGUAGCCUUGUUCUCGCAGAGCUCACUCCUGACCCAGUUUGGUCUCUAG
RNAcentral lists this long non-coding RNA (205 nucleotides) under Fukomys damarensis (Damara mole-rat). RNAcentral describes it as "lncRNA (ENSFDAG00000025333.1)". The record is from RNAcentral. Lineage: Eukaryota; Metazoa; Chordata; Mammalia; Rodentia; Bathyergidae.